UAAAAGUCGUAACAAGGUUUCCGUAGGUGAACCUGCGGAAGGAUCAUUAGUGAAUCUAGGACGUCCAACUUAACUUGGAGUCCGAACUCUCACUUUCUAACCCUGUGCAUCUGUUUUAAAAUUGGCUAGUAGCUCUUCGGAGCGAACCACCAUUUUUCACUUAUACAAACACAAAGUCUAUGAAUGUAAACAAAUUUAUAACAAAACAAAACUUUCAACAACGGAUCUCUUGGCUCUCGCAUCGAUGAAGAACGCAGCGAAAUGCGAUACGUAAUGUGAAUUGCAGAAUUCAGUGAAUCAUCGAAUCUUUGAACGCACCUUGCGCUCCUUGGUAUUCCGAGGAGCAUGCCUGUUUGAGUGUCAUGAAAUCUUCAACCCACCUCUUUCUUAGUGAAUCUGGUGGUGCUUGGUUUCUGAGCGCUGCUCUGCUUCGGCUUAGCUCGUUCGUAAUGCAUUAGCAUCCGCAACCGAAACUUCGGAUUGACUUGGCGUAAUAGACUAUUCGCUGAGGAUUCCAGACUUGUUCUGGAGCCGAGUUGGGUUAAAGGAAGCUUCUAAUCCUAAAGUCUAUUUUUUGAUUAGAUCUCAAAUCAGGUAGGACUACCCGCUGAACUUAAGCAUAUCAAUAAGCGGAGGAAA
RNAcentral lists this ribosomal RNA (639 nucleotides) under uncultured eukaryote. Its description in RNAcentral is "eukaryotic LSU rRNA". The stretch from base 210 to 363 matches the Rfam family "5.8S ribosomal RNA". The record is from RNAcentral.